AAAGGGACCAUAACACGCACUUCCGGUGUAAAACCGCGCGCGCCAGAUUUGAACUCCGACCCGGAACAGCAACGCCAGCUGGGAGAGUCGAACAAGUCAAGCCAAGCCAAGUUCGUGCCGAGGAAGUGCAGGGCUAGAGGAGAAGGAGAAGAAGAGAGAUCUCUGUGACAUCCUGCUUUACCUGUAUCAAGCAUAAGAUUAUUUUAGAAGAUGGAAGAUCCUAGCUGCAGCUCUGGACAACACACGGUAAACCACACCGGUUUCAAACGCUACAUCUGUGGAGAGUGUGGAUACAGGACAGCUCAAAAAUCAAUCUUAUCCAGGCACAUGAGAACUCAUACAGGGGAAAAGCCCUACAGGUGUGGGGAAUGUAGGUACAGGACAGCUAAAAGGUCUAAUUUACUCGUACAUAUGAGAACCCAC
Molecule: long non-coding RNA, 423 nt
Organism: Branchiostoma floridae (Florida lancelet)
Lineage: Eukaryota; Metazoa; Chordata; Leptocardii; Amphioxiformes; Branchiostomatidae
Exons: 3
Source: RefSeq, a predicted model, not a curated record